Molecule: ribosomal RNA, 253 nt
Filed under: uncultured bacterium
Lineage: Bacteria
Description: partial 16S ribosomal RNA
Rfam family: Bacterial small subunit ribosomal RNA
Source: RNAcentral
GACGAACCGCGCGAACGUUGUUCGGAAUCACUGGGCUUCAAGGGCGCGUAGGCGGGUUCUCAAGUCCGGGGUGAAAUCCCACAGCUCAACUGUGGAACUGCCUCGGAUACUGGGGGUCUCGAGGGUGGCAGGGGUAUGCGGAACUAUCGGUGGAGCGGUGAAAUGCGUUGAUAUCGAUAGGAACUCCGGUGGCGAAGGCGGCAUACUGGUCCACUUCUGACGCUGAGGCGCGAAAGCCAGGGGAGCAAACGGG